GUGAGGAAUAUUGGUCAAUGGGCGAGAGCCUGAACCAGCCAAGUCGCGUGAAGGAUGAAGGUUUUAUGAAUUGUAAACUUCUUUUGCAGGGGAAUAAAGUACGGUACGUGUACCGUUUUGUAUGUACUCUGCGAAUAAGGAUCGGCUAACUUCGUGCCAGCAGCCGCGGUAAUACGGAGGCACCAAGCGUUAUCCGGAUUUAUUGGGUUUAAAGGGUGCGCAGGCGGGUUGAUAAGUCAGCGGUGAAAGUUUGCAGCUUAACUGUAAAAAUGCCGUUGAAACUGUCGGACUUGAGUGUAAAUGAGGUAGGCGGAAUGCGUGGUGUAGCGGUGAAAUGCAUAGAUAUCACGCAGAACUCCGAUUGCGAAGGCAGCUUACUAAGCUACAACUGACACUGAAGCACGAAAGCGUGGGGAUCAAACAGGAUUAGAAACCCGAGUAGUCC
RNAcentral lists this ribosomal RNA (445 nucleotides) under uncultured bacterium. RNAcentral describes it as "partial 16S ribosomal RNA". It matches the Rfam family "Bacterial small subunit ribosomal RNA", at positions 354 to 796 of the family's 1533-position model. The record is from RNAcentral.